Molecule: small RNA, 222 nt
Filed under: Streptomyces mangrovisoli
Lineage: Bacteria; Bacillati; Actinomycetota; Actinomycetes; Kitasatosporales; Streptomycetaceae
Description: Actinobacteria sRNA Ms_IGR-5
Rfam family: Actinobacteria sRNA Ms_IGR-5
Source: Rfam by way of RNAcentral
ACCGAAGAGAGGAGGUGGUUCGGAGCAUGUAUGCAUCCCGGACGUCGGAGGUGGCUGCGGGCUAGCGCCCGUCACCACACCUGUGCGGUGCCGGACCGACGUGUCCUCGAAACACGCAGCCGGCCCAAUCCCAAGCAGUCACCCGACCCGCGAGCUCGCCGGUACGUCCGGCCGGCUCCUCCGCCGCAGGGCGGAGGGACCCGAGCUCGCGGGUCGCCUGCG